RNAcentral lists this transfer RNA (72 nucleotides) under Ovis aries (sheep). It matches the Rfam family "tRNA". From Rfam's summary of the family: Transfer RNA (tRNA) molecules are approximately 80 nucleotides in length. Their secondary structure includes four short double-helical elements and three loops (D, anti-codon, and T loops). Further hydrogen bonds mediate the characteristic L-shaped molecular structure. tRNAs have two regions of fundamental functional importance: the anti-codon, which is responsible for specific mRNA codon recognition, and the 3' end, to which the tRNAs corresponding amino acid is attached (by aminoacyl-tRNA synthetases). tRNAs cope with the degeneracy of the genetic code in two manners: having more than one tRNA (with a specific anti-codon) for a particular amino acid; and 'wobble' base-pairing, i.e. permitting non-standard base-pairing at the 3rd anti-codon position. The record is from Rfam by way of RNAcentral. Lineage: Eukaryota; Metazoa; Chordata; Mammalia; Artiodactyla; Bovidae.
UCCCUAGUGGCUCAGAUAGUAAAGAAUCCUCUUGCAAUGAGGGAGACCUGGGUUCAAUCCCUGGCUUGGGAA